UGGGGAAUCUUGGACAAUGGGCGAAAGCCUGACGCAGCCAUGCCGCGUGAAUGAUGAAGGUCUUAGGAUUGUAAAAUUCUUUCACCGGGGACGAUAAUGACGGUACCCGGAGAAGAAGCCCCGGCUAACUUCGUGCCAGCAGCCGCGGUAAUACGAAGGGGGCUAGCGUUGCUCGGAAUUACUGGGCGUAAAGGGCGCGUAGGCGGACAUUUAAGUCAGGGGUGAAAUCCCAGAGCUCAACUCUGGAACUGCCUUUGAUACUGGGUGUCUUGAGUGUGAGAGAGGUAUGUGGAACUCCGAGUGUAGAGGUGAAAUUCGUAGAUAUUAGGAAGAACACCAGUGGCGAAGGCGGCUCACUGGAUCGGUACUGACGCUGAGGUGCGAAAGCGUGGGGAGCAAACAGGAUUAGAUACCCAAGUAGUCCCUGAGCGGGCUGGCAAGGCGCAU
RNAcentral lists this ribosomal RNA (447 nucleotides) under uncultured bacterium. RNAcentral's name for it is "bacterial SSU rRNA". It matches the Rfam family "Bacterial small subunit ribosomal RNA", at positions 355 to 825 of the family's 1533-position model. The record is from RNAcentral.